This 253-nucleotide ribosomal RNA is filed under the name uncultured bacterium. RNAcentral describes it as "partial 16S ribosomal RNA". It matches the Rfam family "Bacterial small subunit ribosomal RNA", at positions 524 to 776 of the family's 1533-position model. The record is from RNAcentral.
UACGAAGGGGGCUAGCGUUGUUCGGAAUCACUGGGCGUAAAGCGCACGUAGGCGGAUUGCUAAGUCAGGGGUGAAAUCCUGGAGCUCAACUCCAGAACUGCCUUUGAUACUGGCAAUCUCGAGUCCGGGAGAGGUGAGUGGAACUGCGAGUGUAGAGGUGAAAUUCGUAGAUAUUCGCAAGAACACCAGUGGCGAAGGCGGCUCACUGGCCCGAUACUGACGCUGAUGCACGAAAGCGUGGGGAGCAAACAGG